RNAcentral lists this ribosomal RNA (253 nucleotides) under uncultured bacterium. Its description in RNAcentral is "partial 16S ribosomal RNA". It matches the Rfam family "Bacterial small subunit ribosomal RNA", at positions 524 to 776 of the family's 1533-position model. The record is from RNAcentral.
UACGAAGGGGGCUAGCGUUGCUCGGAAUCACUGGGCGUAAAGGGUGCGUAGGCGGGGCUUUAAGGCAGGGGUGAAAUCCUGGAGCUCAACUCCAGAACUGCCUUUGAUACUGAAGAUCUUGAGUUCGGGAGAGGUGAGUGGAACUGCGAGUGUAGAGGUGAAAUUCGUAGAUAUUCGCAAGAACACCAGUGGCGAAGGCGGCUCACUGGACCACUACUGACGCUGAGGAACGAAAGCUAGGGGAGCAAACAGG